AGUGAACGCUGGCGGUAGGCCUAACACAUGCCAGUCGAACGGCAGCACAGUAAGAGCUUGCUCUUACGGGUGGCGAGUGGCGGACGGGUGAGGAAUACAUCGGAAUCUACUUUUUCGUGGGGGAUAACGUAGGGAAACUUACGCUAAUACCGCAUACGACCUACGGGUGAAAGCAGGGGAUCUUCGGACCUUGCGCGAUUGAAUGAGCCGAUGUCGGAUUAGCUAGUUGGCGGGGUAAAGGCCCACCAAGGCGACGAUCCGUAGCUGGUCUGAGAGGAUGAUCAGCCACACUGGAGCUGAGACACGGUCCAGACUCCUACGGGAGGCAGCAGUGGGGAAUAUUGGACAAUGGGCGCAAGCCUUAUCCAGCCAUACCGCGUGGGUGAAGAAGGCCUUCGGGUUGUAAAGCCCUUUUGUUGGGAAAGAAAAGCAGCAGGUUAAUACCCCGCUGUUCUGACGGUACCCAAAGAAUAAGCACCGGCUAACUUCGUG
Molecule: ribosomal RNA, 492 nt
Filed under: uncultured bacterium
Lineage: Bacteria
Description: partial 16S ribosomal RNA
Rfam family: Bacterial small subunit ribosomal RNA
Source: RNAcentral